ACAAUGGGGAGCCACUGGCGUUUCUGAGCAGGGCAGGGCGGCCCUAGACGUCGCCCCAUUGUUUUUCCCAGACAGGGCCGAACUCUGCAGUAUCGCAGCGAGCCCACUAGAUGGAGAUAUUUUAGCAAAUUUAAAGCGCCCGGCCUUUCCUGGACACAAUUUCCAGGGAGAAAAACAAACACCGGGACCUCGCAAAACCGCCGCGUGUUGACUUGCGGCAUCCGCAAAGCAAAGUCCAAGGGCUGGGAAACCAAAAUCAAACUACCGACAGCCCAGCUUGACGCUGACAGUGAGACGAAACCUCAGCCUUGCUGGUUUCCUGAGACAGAAAGGCCUUUUUCCUUCUCUACACUCUCACGCCUUUCAUCUAAGCCUUCCUCACAGUGCUUCUCCAAGAAGGCCCUGCGUUCACUGCUAGCUAACGAGCAGGCCCGAUGGCCUCCAGCGGCCUGGGUCUUCCUCGUCUCCACCUGCCGUGCCAGCACACGGCCUCGGCCCUGUCCAGAGAGGCAUCAGUGAGCAGGGGAACGGCCAGGAUGCAGAGACAACAGCUGGGUAACAACAGCUGCGGCCCUGAUACCAGAACAGGGCUGUGAAGCAGAUGGAAUGAAGGAGAACUUCCUAUGUAACCCACAGCGUGAUAAGUCUACCUGGAAUGUUUGGUAAAGAGCCUGACAGGGGAAGUUGGCCCAGUUGUAGAAAGCCCUAUCACUGGGCAUCAGCAAAGGCCAAAAGAGAUAAAAAGAAAGAGCUUCCACUCUCAAAGACUGGAGAAUUCAAGAGCUGGCACUUAUGUGCCCUGUGUGACACGACUCCCCCCCGGGAGGCCGCUAGUCGGUUACCUGUAAGAUGGGGGAAGCAGAGCUAACGUCGUAAGCACGCGGAGAGCUCGGAGGAUGACGUGCACGGGCCCUCGCUCUGCCCCUGGCAGGCAGUGGCUGCUCAAGGACGCCAGCUACUCUUUCUCUUAGUACUUGGAAAUGACAUUAUCCACAUUACAUCACUUAAUAAGUCAAUUUUUUGGACUUAUUACAUACCAUUUAAAACGAGUUGCGCAUAAGAAAAUGACCUGUAUCUAUCACUACGAGUGAGCCUCGCCUAACAUCCUGUAACUGAAUAAACCUUUCAAAAUCAAAA
Molecule: long non-coding RNA, 1137 nt
Organism: Hyaena hyaena (striped hyena)
Lineage: Eukaryota; Metazoa; Chordata; Mammalia; Carnivora; Hyaenidae
Exons: 3
Source: RefSeq, a predicted model, not a curated record